AACGAACGCUGGCGGCAGGCCUAACACAUGCAAGUCGAACGCCGUAGCAAUACGGAGUGGCAGACGGGUGAGUAACACGUGGGAACAUACCCUUUGGUUCGGAAUAACUCAGGGAAACUUGAGCUAAUACCGGAUAAGCGCUUAGGCGGAAAGAUUUAUCGCCGAAGGAUUGGCCCGCGUCCGAUUAGCUAGUUGGUGAG
RNAcentral lists this ribosomal RNA (200 nucleotides) under uncultured bacterium. Its description in RNAcentral is "partial 16S ribosomal RNA". It matches the Rfam family "Bacterial small subunit ribosomal RNA", at positions 29 to 256 of the family's 1533-position model. The record is from RNAcentral.